UAGUAGACCUAGAUGAAAGGGUUGGGAGGAGCUAAGGUGUUCACCUCAAGAAGAUCAAUGAGACACCAGGAUAGCCAUUAUCCAGUUAACUAUUUUCUCUAAGCCCUCUCUUGGACUCUGCCAUCUGGCUGCUGUCUCCGUUUCCUUAAUGAGGAGAAGGCGAGGUCUCAUACUCACCAACUGCUGCAAAAUCUGUAGGUGUCCAUUCCCAAUCAUGUGGCUACAGUGCUCCGACACCUCGGCAACACUCCUGCUCACGAGGAGACAGACCAGCAGCAGCCGGGAGCCCAUCCAUGUCUGUAACAGGAGAAAGGCAUGGCUUUCCAGCACUUCCUCUCCCUUCCCAGAAUGCAGCACUCCCCAGUUAGAUUCUUAUCAGCCAGUGCACCAGCUCACUCUCCCCUUGAUAAUAACCCAAAUGCCAUCUUCUCCAAGAUUAACUCUUCUUAGGUUAACCCAGGUUAGCCCAACAAUACAGAGAACUUAAAAA
RNAcentral lists this long non-coding RNA (490 nucleotides) under Rattus norvegicus (Norway rat). Its description in RNAcentral is "long non-coding RNA NONRATT015691". The record is from RNAcentral. Lineage: Eukaryota; Metazoa; Chordata; Mammalia; Rodentia; Muridae.